This 427-nucleotide ribosomal RNA is filed under the name uncultured bacterium. RNAcentral's name for it is "bacterial SSU rRNA". It matches the Rfam family "Bacterial small subunit ribosomal RNA", at positions 355 to 774 of the family's 1533-position model. The record is from RNAcentral.
UGGGGAAUCUUGGACAAUGGGCGCAAGCCUGAUCCAGCAAUGCCGCGUGCAGGAUGAAGGCCUUCGGGUUGUAAACUGCUUUUGUACGGAGCGAAAAGGUCUGCCCUAAUACGGGGGGCUCAUGACGGUACCGUAAGAAUAAGCACCGCCUAACUACGUGCCAGCAGCCGCGGUAAUACGUAGGGUGCGAGCGUUAAUCGGAAUUACUGGGCGUAAAGCGUGCGCAGGCGGUUAUAUAAGACAGAUGUGAAAUCCCCGGGCUCAACCUGGGACCUGCAUUUGUGACUGUGUAGCUAGAGUGCGGUAGAGGGGGGUGGAAUUCCGCGUGUAGCAGUGAAAUGCGUAGAUAUGCGGAGGAACACCGGUGGCGAAGGCGAUCCCCUGGACCUGAACUGACGCUCAUGCACGAAAGCGUGGGGAGCAAACA